Molecule: ribosomal RNA, 267 nt
Filed under: uncultured bacterium
Lineage: Bacteria
Description: partial 16S ribosomal RNA
Rfam family: Bacterial small subunit ribosomal RNA
Source: RNAcentral
GACGAACGCUGGCGGCGUGCUUAACACAUGCAAGUCGAGCGGUAAGGCCCUUUCGGGGGUACACGAGCGGCGAACGGGUGAGUAACACGUGGGUGACCUGCCCUCAGCUCUGGGAUAAGCCUGGGAAACCGGGUCUAAUACCGGAUAUGACUCCAUGACGCAUGUUGUGGGGUGGAAAGCCUUGUGCGGCUGAGGAUGGGCCCGCGGCCUAUCAGCUUGUUGGUGGGGNGAUGGCCUACCAAGGCGACGACGGGUAGCCGGCCUGAG